UUGGAGGGCAAGUCUGGUGCCAGCAGCCGCGGUAAUUCCAGCUCCAAUAGCGUAUAUUAAAGUUGUUGCAGUUAAAAAGCUCGUAGUUGAAUUUCUGUUUGAUUUGAAUUCGCAGUCUUCUGACCACGAUUUCGAACAAACAUUCUUCCAUUCUCGGUGGUAACACCGUGCGAUGGAGCCUUUACUUUGAGAAAAUUAGAGUGUUUCAAGCAAGCUUCGCUUUGAAUACUACAGCAUGGAAUAAUACAAUAGGACUUUAGGCCUAUUUGUUGGUUUCAGGCCUGAAGUAAUGAUUAAUAGGGACAGUUGGGGGCAUUCGUAUUGGAUAGUCAGCGGUGAAAUGCGUGGAUUUAUUCAAGACGAACUACUGCGAAAGCAUUUGCCAAAGAUGCUUUCAUUAAUCAAGAACGAAAGUUAGGGGAACG
Molecule: ribosomal RNA, 425 nt
Filed under: Cryptosporidium struthionis
Lineage: Eukaryota; Apicomplexa; Conoidasida; Eucoccidiorida; Cryptosporidiidae
Description: bacterial SSU rRNA
Rfam family: Eukaryotic small subunit ribosomal RNA
Source: RNAcentral